UGAUCUGCUUGGACUUUAAAACCAAGCCUAAAGCCAUGAAGCUAGGUCCAAAAUGAGGGUUCAGAGUGAACUCAGGGGUGCAAUGGAGUAAAUUGGUUGGGCCUGAAGUCCAAGGACGGUCAACCACGGAGAAGAGGGGAGUUUCAGAGUUUGAACUCAUUCAUUUCUUUCCAUCGUAUCUUUUUGCUCAAACUCACCUUGCCGUAAAAGCAAACCUCGUCACGCCAGAAAUCGCCUCCGACGGAGGUGGAGGUCAAAACAAGCCCAACCAUACACCAAAAGAAUCCUCUCCGUCCCAUCUACCUCAAUCCUCCACUGAUUUUUCCCAAAUCAAUCAUUAUUUCUCAAACCGAGGUUAAACAUGUAUGAACCCUAAAACUGAAAUUGUAAAUUAAACGCUCUCAAGGAGGAAUGAAAGCCUAAUUCCUUGGGGCUUUGAUUCCUCAAGGAUCAAGCUACAUGCUGGUAUUAAAUUAAGGCGAAAUGGUGAAGAAAAGCCUACCUACUGGACGAUGACGUGUCUCGGAGUUUGCUGAAAGGAUAUGAAGAUGAUGAAGACACAAGAGUUACAGAGGCUCUUCAAUGAGGCAAGAGUGGGCAUGGAUUGAAGGUUUAAUCAAGGCUUAAACCUUUUAUGAAAAGAAACAAGAACCAUGAAGAACAAUGAAGAACUCGGCUAUGGAUGACUUGAGGAGAAAGUUGUAACUAGAAUUAAGGCUAGUAGAGUUGACUUUGGUCAACUGAUUGACCAAAAAGUCAACAUUUGACCAAAGUUAACUUUAGGUCCAAGUUGCAUUAUUUAUUUUGUGUGUAGGUUUAAAAUUUGUGGAAUGAUGUAAUGAUUUGUAAAUGGAUGCUAGAUGCCUUUGUAAUGAAAAAUGAUCUUGUGUAAUUU
This is a long non-coding RNA of Lathyrus oleraceus (garden pea), 895 nucleotides long. RefSeq lists it as uncharacterized. The record is from RefSeq and is a predicted model, not a curated record. The transcript has 2 exons. NCBI's taxonomy places the organism in Eukaryota, Viridiplantae, Streptophyta, Magnoliopsida, Fabales, Fabaceae.